AUGUGACGAUUGGACUUCUCAACAUAUCUUCUCCCUCACCCGUGAACGAAGACGGCGGCGCGAUGUUGCUUCUUCUUCUCCGAUCAACUCUCGUCCUCCGCCAUCGCGAACAACCGAUGAACAACGCAUUCACUACCUUGCCUUCCUCUCGCCCGAUUCGUCAUCUCUUCGCUUAGCUCGACGACUCGUUUCUGCUCAAAUUCAAAUCCUCUCCGAUUCAACUCCGUCCACCCUUCUCCGAAUCGAUCUCUCUCACCACGAAUCUUCAAUACUGAUGACACGAAAAACCGGCAAAUGAACUUCGCGUUCUUCAGGUGAUGAUGAAGUUCGUUGUCUACUUGAUGAAGGCGACGGAGCGAAUAAGAAGAUUGAAGGUUGACGAGAGGUUGGUUGAAGAUGAAGGUUCUGAGAUGCGAUGGAGAAUCUAAGGAGAAAGAUGAUUCUGAGUUUAGAGAGGAAGAUUGACGAUGAUGAAGAUAUAGAGAUGAUGAAGAUUCAGAUUGAAGAUUAUGGAGGUUGAAGAAUUGGUGGUGAAGAUUGGAGAAGAUGAAGUUUGUUACUGAUUCUUGUUGGUUAUGGAGAGGCUUGAAGGUGUGAAAAAUGGUGAGAUUGAAGAUUGGUUAGAGAAGAUUCUGGUGAUUUGAGGUGUGAAGAAGCUCAAGAGGGAUUGUUCUGAGAAUUGAAGGAUGGAGAGAGCAUUGGUGUGUAGCUCUGUGGUAUGAAGUGUUGAUGGUGAUGAAUGGAGCAAUGAAGAAUGGUUGAAGUGAGGAUGGAGAUGAAUGAAUUGUGAAGAGAAGAAGAAGAUGCAGAGCAAAAUGGUGGGGACUGAUAAAGAUGUGUGUGAAUUGUGGAGAGGCUGAAUUGAGGAAUGUGGUUCUGAUUUAUAGAGGUGGAGAGAAGCGAUUCUGAAGGUCUGUUUUUGAGGUGCUGCAAGUCUGUGAAUGUUUGAUGGCAGCUCCGGUUUUAUUUUGCGGGUUUUGAGUGGUAAGCUGGAUUUAUUUUCUGGAUAAUGUAGAAUUUAUUGUAGCUUUGUUCUGAAUGUGGGACGGUGUAUUUGAUUGUGUCAGAAUUAACAUAAGCUAGCUUGAUUUGAAUUGGCACAGGUUUUC
Long non-coding RNA from Vicia villosa (hairy vetch), 1109 nucleotides. RefSeq lists it as uncharacterized. Lineage: Eukaryota; Viridiplantae; Streptophyta; Magnoliopsida; Fabales; Fabaceae. The transcript has 3 exons. The record is from RefSeq and is a predicted model, not a curated record.